GACGAACGCUGGCGGCGUGCUUAACACAUGCAAGUCGAACGGAAAGGCCCUGCUUUUGUGGGGUGCUCGAGUGGCGAACGGGUGAGUAACACGUGAGUAACCUGCCCUUGACUUUGGGAUAACUUCAGGAAACUGGGGCUAAUACCGGAUAGGAGCUCCUGCUGCAUGGUGGGGGUUGGAAAGUUUCGGCGGUUGGGGAUGGACUCGCGGCUUAUCAGCUUGUUGGUGGGGUAGUGGCCUACCAAGGCUUUGACGGGUAGCCGGCCUGAGAGGGUGACCAGCCACAUUGGGACUGAGAUACGGCCCAGACUCCUACGGGAGGCAGCAGUGGGGAAUAUUGCACAAUGGGCGGAAGCCUGAUGCAGCAACGCCGCGUGCGGGAUGACGGCCUUCGGGUUGUAAACCGCUUUCGCCUGUGACGAAGCGUGAGUGACGGUAAUGGGUAAAGAAGCACCGGCUAACUACGUG
RNAcentral lists this ribosomal RNA (468 nucleotides) under uncultured bacterium. Its description in RNAcentral is "partial 16S ribosomal RNA". It matches the Rfam family "Bacterial small subunit ribosomal RNA", at positions 28 to 507 of the family's 1533-position model. The record is from RNAcentral.